Molecule: ribosomal RNA, 490 nt
Filed under: uncultured bacterium
Lineage: Bacteria
Description: partial 16S ribosomal RNA
Rfam family: Bacterial small subunit ribosomal RNA
Source: RNAcentral
AUUGAACGCUGGCGGCAGGCCUAACACAUGCAAGUCGAACGGUAACAGGAAACAGCUUGCUGUUUCGCUGGCGAGGGGCGGACGGGUGAGUAAUGUCUGGGAAACUGCCUGAUGGAGGGGGAUAACUACUGGAAACGGUAGCUAAUAGCGCAUAACGUCGCAAGACCAAAGAGGGGGAGCUUCGGGCCUCGGGCCGGCGGGUGUGCCCGGAUGGGAUUGGCUAGGGGGUGGGGUAACGGCUCACCUAGUCGGCGAUCCGUAGCUGGUGUGAGAGGCUGAGGAGCCACCCUGGAACUGAGCCAGCCUCCAUACUCCUACGGUAGGCACCAGUGGGGAACAUUGCGCAAUGGUCGCAAGCCUGAUGCAGUGAUGCCGCGUGUAUUACGGAGGCCUUCCGGUUGUGAUGUACUUUCAGCGGUGAGGAAGCGCGUAAAGUUAAUACCUUUCCUCAUUGACGUUACCCGCAGAAGAAGCACCGGCUAACUACGUG